This 484-nucleotide ribosomal RNA is filed under the name uncultured bacterium. Its description in RNAcentral is "partial 16S ribosomal RNA". It matches the Rfam family "Bacterial small subunit ribosomal RNA", at positions 30 to 507 of the family's 1533-position model. The record is from RNAcentral.
AUUGAACGCUGGCGGCAUGCCUUACACAUGCAAGUCGAACGGCAGCGCGGGAGCAAUCCUGGCGGCGAGUGGCGAACGGGUGAGUAAUACAUCGGAACGUGCCCAAUCGUGGGGGAUAACGCAGCGAAAGCUGUGCUAAUACCGCAUACGAUCUACGGAUGAAAGCAGGGGAUCGCAAGACCUUGCGCGAAUGGAGCGGCCGAUGGCAGAUUAGGUAGUUGGUGAGGUAAAGGCUCACCAAGCCUUCGAUCUGUAGCUGGUCUGAGAGGACGACCAGCCACACUGGGACUGAGACACGGCCCAGACUCCUACGGGAGGCAGCAGUGGGGAAUUUUGGACAAUGGGCGAAAGCCUGAUCCAGCCAUGCCGCGCGCAGGAUGAAGGCCUUCGGGUUGUAAACUGCUUUUGUACGGAACGAAACGGUCUUUUCUAAUAAAGAAGGCUAAUGACGGUACCGUAAGAAUAAGCACCGGCUAACUACGUG